Long non-coding RNA from Triticum aestivum (bread wheat), 1556 nucleotides. RefSeq lists it as uncharacterized. The record is from RefSeq and is a predicted model, not a curated record. The transcript is spliced from 3 exons. Lineage: Eukaryota; Viridiplantae; Streptophyta; Magnoliopsida; Poales; Poaceae.
CCGUGUUUUUCGUUUUUUUUGUUGCUAUUGAACUGCAUAAUAUAUCUCCCUGAAAGUAUUAUGUUUAAAAGCACCGGUUGAUGUUCUGUUUCAUUCUUUUCCUUUGUAAGAGCUUCUUGUGGUAGAUUAAAGAGGUGUAUACUUCUUCUAAGAACUACUAUAUUUUUUCUGUAUAUUAGGGUUUGUUUGGAUUGGUUCCUAUACUUGCCCAACCAAAUAAUUGGCGUUGACAGAGCGAUGGGCGUUUGUUUCGAUUGGCGCCGAUAAAUUAGCUCGCCCGCUGCUCGUCAGCCCUUUGCGUUCAGUUUUCCGCCAAAUCAUUGGCAAGGCGGGGACGGCCGAAACCUCCACCAAUUUUUUGGCUAGCCCAUGGUUGGCGGGGCGGGCAUUGGCAGAAUCCAAACAACCUCUUAUGCUUUUCAUUCAGUUAAGAGUAUGAACUCAUGUUCUAGGAAUUGAAUGUGAUAGUUCAUGUUCAGCGGAUUUCGCUGGCAGAUACACACGGUGCUCACGAGCGCCUCGAGCAACAUGGAUCCGAUGUUUAUGAUGAAUCAUUUCAUGAUUAGUUAGAGGCUGCAGUGAAACAUUACUAUAUGUGACAAGUAUUUCUUUUCUUAAGCUGUUGUUGUUGUUUUUCAUUUCUGAAAUUUAUCUUUUGAUGCCUAAUUCAGACAACAUAGCACAUUACCUUUCUGCUAAAUUUUAUAAGUGACAAAAUAUGUUUCAGAUACAUCACUGCCGCUUUUUGUUUUACUCUUUUUCUGAAGUAAAUAGCUUCAUUCUUAUGCUUCACAAUUUCCAGUGGGAAAAAUCACAUUUCAUAUUUCUAACGCUAUAUUGUAUCAUACAAUGAACAGAGUGAAGAGAAUGACCAGCCAGAGUACAUCCGCGGAACAUCUUGUGGGAUCCAGUACUUCGAAGAGCUUGAAGAUCAUUGUUACAGGGGUAAUGAGGUUAAGCUCUAUGAACACCAGGUAGACGCUCUCUUUGCUAUGUUCUGGCACAAGGAGCCAGACAUCAAGUACUACAUGUGCACAAUCAAUAAAACAUUUGCUAAGCCAGGCCACCGCAUGGUACAAUAUACUGAAGACAACCUGCUGGACUAUAUUGAUCCCAACAAUGAUACACUCAUGGUCAGGCUUGCGGAUGCCCGUCUACGCGUCGAAUGUCGCAUUAUGCUAGGAACUGACAAGAGGGCCACUAUAACCACCAGCUGGUCUGAGUUUCGUCGCCGUGCCAACAUUCGCGAAGGAGACAUCUGUGCUUUUCAUUUCAGGGUCACUUCAAAGCGCCGCGUGUUCUCACCGUGCACUGCCUCUAGAUCCACCAUCGAAGACACCACAGUUCCUGUGUGAAUAUAAUCUAGCACAGUACAUUGAAUUAUGCUCGUGAUUAACCGAUGGUUUACUUUUGGACCCUGCUAUCUCAUGAUUUUGAAGAUCUGAAAGCUAUGCCGUUGCCUAUGUAAACUCUACUAUUCUCAGUCAUGUGGUUUACAUCCACCUGUUCAGAUCCAUAAUGGCACUCUUUUAUAUAUAUCUAUUAAUUUCUACUCC